This 468-nucleotide ribosomal RNA is filed under the name uncultured bacterium. RNAcentral describes it as "partial 16S ribosomal RNA". It matches the Rfam family "Bacterial small subunit ribosomal RNA", at positions 28 to 507 of the family's 1533-position model. The record is from RNAcentral.
GACGAACGCUGGCGGCGUGCUUAACACAUGCAAGUCGAACGGAAAGGCCCUGCUUUUGUGGGGUGCUCGAGUGGCGAACGGGUGAGUAACACGUGAGUAACCUGCCCUUGACUUUGGGAUAACUUCAGGAAACUGGGGCUAAUACCGGAUAGGAGCUCCUGCUGCAUGGUGGGGGUUGGAAAGUUUCGGCGGUUGGGGAUGGACUCGCGGCUUAUCAGCUUGUUGGUGGGGUAGUGGCUUACCAAGGCUUUGACGGGUAGCCGGCCUGAGAGGGUGACCGGCCACAUUGGGACUGAGAUACGGCGCAGACUCCUAAGGGAGGCAGCAGUGGGGAAUAUUGCACAAUGGGCGGAAGCCUGAUGCAGCAACGCCGCGUGCGGGAUGACGGCCUUCGGGUUGUAAACCGCUUUCGCCUGUGACGAAGCGUGAGUGACGGUAAUGGGUAAAGAAGCACCGGCUAACUACGUG